GAACUAGAUUUGCCCAGGGUUCGUAGUUUAUAACAAGGGGCACGCUAUUUAUAAUGCACGAUGGGUGUUUAACGUGUUGGAAGAAGAAGAUAUUGCCCAAACCACUAGGUGGAAUAUCAGUAGGAGGCCCACAUACUUCCCUUAUUCAUACGAAACACGGCACAAUUUUCAGCAAGACCGCAAACGUCAAGUAAGGGUGAAAUGGACAUACAUGUUUUUUGCUCAGAAUCCAGUUAAUUAUUCCAGCCAUGUACCUAGAAGAAUCUCAAAAGCUUUUAUGUUUGAUGCUGGUCCAUGCACCCAUGUUGGAGAAUCUGGUAUGUUAUAGCACCUAUUCCAUCUAUAAGAUAGCGAGAUAUGGUGUCCAACUGUUGGAUUUGCUUGAUUAUGAAGAUAUUGAGAAACAUCAAAAUGUCUCAUUAGCUUCUGUUGCUAACAAGCGGCAACUGUUGAUCCACAGGAAAAAAGAAGGGUGACAAUCGUUGGUGUCUUUUGUUCUUCACUUUUUCCAUACAUGUUAAGAAGCAUCCAUACAUGUGAUGUAUCAUGCAUCAUUAUCUGAUCACGGAACAGUUCUGUUAUUCCGGUAAAAGGACCGAUACAUUUGCUCACCAUUCGUAACGAGCAACUGCAUUUUUCUGACCGAUCUGAUGGAAGAGACUAGUCAAUGCAUCAACACUCCCCCUCAAGACCUCUUGGCUCUGAUACCAUGUAGAAGUGGGUGCUCUAGCCAAUGCAACCAAAAGACCGAUCUGAUGAAAAAGACUAGGCAAUACAACAACAAUGAGCAUUCUGUGGUUCUCUUGCAGUGCGAAUUGUCACUCAUGGAAUGAUUCUUGUGGCUGUUUCGCACGAUCAUAUGUAAUCUGUCUGCUGUUUCGCAUGUUGGUUCACAUGAUCAUAUGUAAUCUGUCUGUUGUGCACGUUGUAUAAUGCAACCAGUGUUAUUGUCAUUGAUGAUAGAAUAUGCUGUAGAAUACCAGUAAUCCUGAAUAUGUGCUAAAGUUGCCACGCUA
Molecule: long non-coding RNA, 1016 nt
Organism: Triticum aestivum (bread wheat)
Lineage: Eukaryota; Viridiplantae; Streptophyta; Magnoliopsida; Poales; Poaceae
Exons: 2
Source: RefSeq, a predicted model, not a curated record